UCAAGCUACUAAGAGCAUGUGGUAGAUGCCUUGGUGCCAAGAGGCGAUGAAGGACGUGGUUAGCUGCGAAAAGCUUCGGGGAGCCGCUAAGCAGGCUUUGAUCCGGAGAUUUCCGAAUGGGGCAACCCAUUCCGAGUAAUGUCGGAAUAUUCCGCAGGUGAAUACAUAGCCAGUGGAAGGCGAACGAGAGGAACUGAAACAUCUAAGUACUCUCAGGAAAAGAAAGAAAUUCGAUUCCCAAAGUAGUGGCGAGCGAAAUGGGAAGAGCCUAAACCAAAUAUACUUAUAGUCCGUGAGCGUUGUAUAUUUGGGGUUGUAGGAUAAUAUUGGAGGUUUUUACGGAAACCUCGGGAAGUUACAAAGCUGUUCUAUAGCAAAAUAACAUGGAAAGGUUAACCAUAGCGGGUGAUAGUCCUUUAUGCGAAAUAGAAUAACCUUCCUGGAUAUUAUCCUGAGUACCACGGGACACGUGGAAUCUUGUGGGAAGAUAGGGGGACCAUCCCCAAAGGCUAAAUACUACUUGGCGACCGAUAGUGUACAAGUACCGUGAGGGAAAGGUGAAAAGAACCCCGUUGAGGGGAGUGAAAUAGUACCUGAAACCGCAUGCUUACAUGUAGUGGUAGUUCCGUAGCAAUACGGAAUAACCGCGUACCUUUUGCAUAAUGGGUCAGUGAGUUACUCUAUGUUGCGAGGUUAAGCCGUUAGGUGUAGCCGGAGCGAAAGCGAGUCCGAAAAGGGCGAUUAGUUGCAUGGAGUAGACCCGAAACCAGGUGAUCUAUCCAUGGCCAGGAUGAAUCCCGAGUAAUAUCGGAAAGAGGUCCGAACCCACUCAGGUUGAAAACUGAGGGGAUGAGCUGUGGAUCGGAGUGAAAGGCUAAACAAACCUGGAAAUAGCUGGUUCUCCCCGAAAUAUAUUUAGGUAUAGCCUCACAUGUUCGGUUAUGGAGGUAGAGCACUGAAUGGGCUAGGGCUCCUACAAGGGUACCAAACCCAACCAAACUCCGAAUGCCAUAACCCAAAAUGGAGGAGACAGACUGCGGGUGAUAAGAUCCGUAGUCGAGAGGGAAACAGCCCAGACCAUCAGCUAAGGUCCCUAAAAUGUGCUAAGUGGAAAAGGAUGUGGGUCCACUAAAACAGCCAGGAGGUUGGCUUAGAAGCAGCCACCCUUUAAAGAAAGCGUAACAGCUCACUGGUCUAGCAGGCCUGCGCCGAAAAUGUAACGGGGCUAAGCACAUUACCGAAGCUAUGGAUCAUUCCGUAUAUCGGAAUGGUGGUAGGGGAGCAUUCUGCUUACCUGUGAAGGUGUCUCGUGAGGGAUGCUGGAGGACGCAGAAGAGAGUAUGCUGACAUGAGUAGCGAUAAUGCCGGUGAAAAACCGGCACGCCGUAAGCCCAAGGUUUCCUGAGCAAGGGUAAUCCUCUCAGGGUUAGUCGGUCCCUAAGGCGAGGCCGAAAGGCGUAGUUGAUGGGAAACAGGUUAAUAUUCCUGUACCACCAGGUAGGUGAUAAAGACGCGAAGGGGGGACGGAGAAGGGUAGGCCAUCCUGCUGACGGAAUAGCAGGUUCAAGCCCGUAGAGGGGUUCCACAGGCAAAUCCAUGGAACCAUAACCUCGAGAAGUGAUGAGGAGUCCGCUUGCGGACACAAACUGGCUAAUCCCAUGCUUCCAAGAAAAGCCUCGUAGCGAAUCUAUUUGGUGACCGUACCGCAAACCGACACAGGUGGGCAAGGAGAGAAUCCUAAGGCGCUUGAGAUAACUCUGGUUAAGGAACUUUGCAAAAUUACACCGUAACUUAGGGAGAAGGUGUAUUCUGGUGCGUGUAAGAACUUGCUUCUGAAGCGUUCUGGAAUCGCAGUGAAGAGGGAGUGACGACUGUUUACUAAAAACAUAGGACUCUGCAAACUCGUAAGAGGAUGUAUAGGGUCUGACGCCUGCCCGGUGCUGGAAGGUUAAGGGGAGAUGUUAUUCAAGGAAACGAGGAGAAGCAUUGAACCGAAGCCCCAGUAAACGGCGGCCGUAACUAUAACGGUCCUAAGGUAGCGAAAUUCCUUGUCGGGUAAGUUCCGACCUGCAUGAAUGGCGUAACGAUUGCUCCGCUGUCUCAACCAGGGACUCAGCGAAAUUAUAAUGGGGGUGAAGAUACCCUCACCCCGCGGCAAGACGGUAAGACCCCGUGAACCUUUACUAUAGCUUGACAGUGAACUUCGGAAUAUCAUGUGUAGGAUAGGUGGGAGGCUAUGAAGCGUUGGCGCAAGCUGGCGCAGAGCCGACCUUGAAAUACCACCCUUGUUGUUUUGAGGUUCUAACUCAGGUCCCUUAAUCGGGAUCGAGGACAUUGUCUGGUGGGUAGUUUGACUGGGGCGGUCGCCUCCAAAA
RNAcentral lists this ribosomal RNA (2375 nucleotides) under activated sludge metagenome. RNAcentral's name for it is "bacterial LSU rRNA". It matches the Rfam family "Bacterial large subunit ribosomal RNA", at positions 3 to 2294 of the family's 2925-position model. The record is from RNAcentral.